UUUCUUCGAUAUUCAUGAUGCAUGACAAUGCGAGAACAAUGUAAUAUGAAAAUCAUCACCAAUGGUUCUUAUCUGAACCUCAUUAAUCACCAUAAUGCAACACCAUAUGUUAACAUCACCAAUAUACAUAUAAACAUAUUAAUAUGCAACAAUAUAUCAUCGACAAUUGAUUUCAACGCGACACUCCACCCAAACUCACCAAACAGUAUUAAAAAA
Molecule: long non-coding RNA, 216 nt
Filed under: Lathyrus oleraceus (garden pea)
Lineage: Eukaryota; Viridiplantae; Streptophyta; Magnoliopsida; Fabales; Fabaceae
Description: Pisum sativum (pea) long non-coding RNA (PSAT_LNC040037)
Source: RNAcentral